CCUACGGGGUGCUGCAGUGGGGAAUAUUGGACAAUGGGCGAAAGCCUGAUCCAGCCAUGCCGCGUGUGUGAAGAAGGCCUUCGGGUUGUAAAGCACUUUCAGUGGGGAAGAAAGCCUUGGGGCUAAUACCCUCGAGGAAGGACAUCACCCACAGAAGAAGCACCGGCUAACUCCGUGCCAGCAGCCGCGGUAAUACGGAGGGUGCGAGCGUUAAUCGGAAUUACUGGGCGUAAAGCGCGCGUAGGCGGUCUGAUAAGCCGGUUGUGAAAGCCCCGGGCUCAACCUGGGAACGGCAUCCGGAACUGUCAGGCUGAGUGCAGGAGAGGAAGGUAGAAUUCCCGGUGUAGCGGUGAAAUGCGUAGAGAUCGGGAGGAAUACCAGUGGCGAAGGCGGCCUUCUGGACUGACACUGACGCUGAGGUGCGAAAGCGUGGGUAGCAAACAGGAUUAGAUACCCUGGUAGUC
This 464-nucleotide ribosomal RNA is filed under the name Vreelandella stevensii. RNAcentral describes it as "partial 16S ribosomal RNA". It matches the Rfam family "Bacterial small subunit ribosomal RNA", at positions 338 to 795 of the family's 1533-position model. Lineage: Bacteria; Pseudomonadati; Pseudomonadota; Gammaproteobacteria; Oceanospirillales; Halomonadaceae. The record is from RNAcentral.